Molecule: RNase P RNA, 381 nt
Filed under: Alphaproteobacteria bacterium
Lineage: Bacteria; Pseudomonadati; Pseudomonadota; Alphaproteobacteria
Description: partial RNase P RNA component class A
Rfam family: Bacterial RNase P class A
About the family: Ribonuclease P (RNase P) is a ubiquitous endoribonuclease, found in archaea, bacteria and eukarya as well as chloroplasts and mitochondria. Its best characterised activity is the generation of mature 5'-ends of tRNAs by cleaving the 5'-leader elements of precursor-tRNAs.
Source: RNAcentral
GAUGACCGCCGCCGCAGGUCCCGAAAGGGCGCGGGGGAGGAAAGUCCGGGCUCCACGGAACGACGGUGCCGGGUAACACCCGGCGGGGGCGACCCCAGGGAAAGUGCCACAGAAAUUAUACCGCGAACGGGGCUUGCCCCGCCGCAAGGGUGAAAUGGUGCGGCAAGAGCGCACCGCGCCUCCGGCAACGGCGGCGGCAGGGCAAACCCCACCGGGAGCAAGACCGAAUAGGGGCGGCAUGGGCCUUCGGGCCCGGGAUGUUCCGGUCCGCCGCCCGGGUAGGUCGCGCGAAGCCUCCGGCAACGGAGGUUCCAGAUGAAUGGUCAUCCCUUGGCGGUUCGCCGCAAAGGACAGAACCCGGCUUACAGGCCGGCUGGCGCC